Long non-coding RNA from Dermacentor andersoni, 1292 nucleotides. RefSeq lists it as uncharacterized. NCBI's taxonomy places the organism in Eukaryota, Metazoa, Arthropoda, Arachnida, Ixodida, Ixodidae. The record is from RefSeq and is a predicted model, not a curated record.
AAUUACUUUGCCGAAAUUGCUACUCGAAGCGGCGAACAGCGAACAAGUGUCAGCGCAGUCGUCUGCUAUAUUACAGCCUAUAGUUGUGCACAGCUUGAAACAACCUUUGAAAGGGCAAACUUUGCAAUCUCACUCGAUCUCUGCAGAGCGCUGCUAAGGACGUCGAAUUUGAGCUCACGUUCUUGUCCAGACAGAAUCGUCUGCUUCACCGAGGCGCGGCAUCAUAGAGUUUUAUAGCAUCAAUCGUGCGUCGUCUGCUACUCACACAUGCAGCGCAACGCACUUGACGCUGAUAUCGCGUGCACGUUACCCUACAGAGACCCAGUCCGCCAAACAAUAAAGCCUACUACUCCACAGCCACUUGACACAAUUUCGCCUGCGGCCCUUCCGGUCUCUGCUUCCUCCUCCACUUUUCAGCGACUUUCGCUUUCUCUCGCCUCGUCGUGCGCUCAUGCGUGCACCCGCCUAGCCGUCACUUUCACAAGAUCCGCUCUUUGAAAGCAGGCAUGCGUGCUGCGUGUGCAGAGCCGAAAAGUGCGGUAUAUCGCAUGUGCGCGCAUAUGUGCUGCAGAAAUAUCUUUGUAACGCACCACCAUCUUCAGCGGCGUAUGAGGAAGACGCUUCCCAAUGCUUGCACAACGAAUACAACUGCGCGACUCGUCUGGCUUGCGCUUCGAGAGAAAAAAAAAAAGGCGCUAGCUUGCUAUGACGAAGCGCGGCAUUCCACGGAAGCACAUAUGACGAUUUAGUGGUCGCUAUAAAUAAGGACAUGUCAAACGUAGCAGGCCUCGGUCUACGUGAACACCUGCCUUCGCGUUUCAGGCAUGCCUGCGGAGACCUUCGCUCAGGCCACAGUGGUCACGAAUAUGCGCAACACGCAACGUAGGAAAGCUGUCAUAAAAUGGUUCGCCGCCAUCGCGAACGAAAUGUAGGCACGGUCGAGCAAGCAUGUAUAUAAAGACCACGUAUAACAUUACUGGGGGCUAAUCAACACCACGGUCGGCUACAGGCUGGAAAGAAGGAACAUGCACAGCCACGGUCCAAGAAUCUUGGCUACUGAAGACGGUCUCCAGCCCAGUCGGUUUAAUGCUGUCUGAAGAGGGCGGUACUGGAUGUCAGAACAAGUACAGGAAGUGUUCAGUAUUUCUUUUUUCGGUCCCGUAGGAGUCACACGUAGGUCAGAAUCAAGCCACGGAUAAUAUGCAGGACCAAGAAGCAGAUGAAAACAUUUACGUGAAUGUGUGAUUACACAUUAUCAAAAACUAUACCUCCUAUAAAAAUAGCAGAAAGCA